Homo sapiens (human) is the source of this 3301-nucleotide long non-coding RNA. Ensembl annotates it as nuclear paraspeckle assembly transcript 1. Its record names the gene NEAT1. The record is from Ensembl. Lineage: Eukaryota; Metazoa; Chordata; Mammalia; Primates; Hominidae.
CAGUGGGGCAGGCUGCAUGGAAAAUAUCCGCAGGGUCCCCCAGGCAGAACAGCCACGCUCCAGGCCAGGCUGUCCCUACUGCCUGGUGGAGGGGGAACUUGACCUCUGGGAGGGCGCCGCUCUUGCAUAGCUGAGCGAGCCCGGGUGCGCUGGUCUGUGUGGAAGGAGGAAGGCAGGGAGAGGUAGAAGGGGUGGAGGAGUCAGGAGGAAUAGGCCGCAGCAGCCCUGGAAAUGAUCAGGAAGGCAGGCAGUGGGUGCAGGGCUGCAGGAGGGCCGGGAGGGCUAAUCUUCAACUUGUCCAUGCCAGCAGCCCCUUUUUUUCCAGACCAAGGGCUGUGAACCCGCCUGGGGAUGAGGCCUGGUCUUGUGGAACUGAACUUAGCUCGACGGGGCUGACCGCUCUGGCCCAGGGUGGUGGCAGUGCUCCUUUUGGACUUUUCUCUAGGUUUGGCGCUAAACUCUUCUUGUGAGCUCACUCCACCCCUUCUUCCUCCCUUUAACUUAUCCAUUCACUUAAAACAUUACCUGGUCAUCUGGUAAGCCCGGGACAGUAAGCCGAGUGGCUGUUGGAGUCGGUAUUGUUGGUAAUGGUGGAGGAAGAGAGGCCUUCCCGCUGAGGCUGGGGUGGGGCGGAUCGGUGUUGCUUGCCUGCAGAGAGGGUGGGGAGUGAAUGUGCACCCUUGGGUGGGCCUGCAGCCAUCCAGCUGAAAGUUACAAAAAUGCUUCAUGGACCGUGGUUUGUUACUAUAGUGUUCCUCAUGGCGAGCAGAUGGAACCGGGAGACAUGGAGUCCCUGGCCAGUGUGAGUCCUAGCAUUGCAGGAGGGGAGACCCUGGAGGAGAGAGCCCGCCUCAAUUGAUGCCUGCAGAUUGAAUUUCCAGAGGCUUAGGAGGAGGAAGUUCUCCAAUGUUCUGUUUCCAGGCCUUGCUCAGGAAGCCCUGUAUUCAGGAGGCUACCAUUUAAAGUUUGCAGAUGAGCUUAUGGGGGGCAAUCUUAAAAAGUCCACAGCAGAUGCAUCCGGCUCGAGGGGCCAUCAGCUUUGAAUAAAUGCUUGUUCCAGAGCCCAUGAAUGCCAGCAGGCACCCCUCCUUUCCUGGGGUAAAGGUUUUCAGAUGCUGCAUCUUCUAAAUUGAGCCUCCGGUCAUACUAGUUUUGUGCUUGGAACCUUGCUUCAAGAAGAUCCCUAAGCUGUAGAACAUUUUAACGUUGAUGCCACAACGCAGAUUGAUGCCUUGUAGAUGGAGCUUGCAGAUGGAGCCCCGUGACCUCUCACCUACCCACCUGUUUGCCUGCCUUCUUGUGCGUUUCUCGGAGAAGUUCUUAGCCUGAUGAAAUAACUUGGGGCGUUGAAGAGCUGUUUAAUUUUAAAUGCCUUAGACUGGGGAUAUAUUAGAGGAAGCAGAUUGUCAAAUUAAGGGUGUCAUUGUGUUGUGCUAAACGCUGGGAGGGUACAAGUUGGUCAUUCCUAAAUCUGUGUGUGAGAAAUGGCAGGUCUAGUUUGGGCAUUGUGAUUGCAUUGCAGAUUACUAGGAGAAGGGAAUGGUGGGUACACCGGUAGUGCUCUUUUGUUCUUGCUUCGUUUUUUUAAACUUGAACUUUACUUCGUUAGAUUUCAUAAUACUUUCUUGGCAUUCUAGUAAGAGGACCCUGAGGUGGGAGUUGUGGGGGACGGGGAGAAGGGGACAGCUUGGCACCGGUCCCGUGGGCGUUGCAGUGUGGGGGAUGGGGGUAUGCAGCUUGGCACUGGUACUGGGAGGGAUGAGGGUGAAGAAGGGGAGAGGGUUGGUUAGAGAUACAGUGUGGGUGGUGGGGGUGGUAGGAAAUGCAGGUUGAAGGGAAUUCUCUGGGGCUUUGGGGAAUUUAGUGCGUGGGUGAGCCAAGAAAAUACUAAUUAAUAAUAGUAAGUUGUUAGUGUUGGUUAAGUUGUUGCUUGGAAGUGAGAAGUUGCUUAGAAACUUUCCAAAGUGCUUAGAACUUUAAGUGCAAACAGACAAACUAACAAACAAAAAUUGUUUUGCUUUGCUACAAGGUGGGGAAGACUGAAGAAGUGUUAACUGAAAACAGGUGACACAGAGUCACCAGUUUUCCGAGAACCAAAGGGAGGGGUGUGUGAUGCCAUCUCACAGGCAGGGGAAAUGUCUUUACCAGCUUCCUCCUGGUGGCCAAGACAGCCUGUUUCAGAGGGUUGUUUUGUUUGGGGUGUGGGUGUUAUCAAGUGAAUUAGUCACUUGAAAGAUGGGCGUCAGACUUGCAUACGCAGCAGAUCAGCAUCCUUCGCUGCCCCUUAGCAACUUAGGUGGUUGAUUUGAAACUGUGAAGGUGUGAUUUUUUCAGGAGCUGGAAGUCUUAGAAAAGCCUUGUAAAUGCCUAUAUUGUGGGCUUUUAACGUAUUUAAGGGACCACUUAAGACGAGAUUAGAUGGGCUCUUCUGGAUUUGUUCCUCAUUUGUCACAGGUGUCUUGUGAUUGAAAAUCAUGAGCGAAGUGAAAUUGCAUUGAAUUUCAAGGGAAUUUAGUAUGUAAAUCGUGCCUUAGAAACACAUCUGUUGUCUUUUCUGUGUUUGGUCGAUAUUAAUAAUGGCAAAAUUUUUGCCUAUCUAGUAUCUUCAAAUUGUAGUCUUUGUAACAACCAAAUAACCUUUUGUGGUCACUGUAAAAUUAAUAUUUGGUAGACAGAAUCCAUGUACCUUUGCUAAGGUUAGAAUGAAUAAUUUAUUGUAUUUUUAAUUUGAAUGUUUGUGCUUUUUAAAUGAGCCAAGACUAGAGGGGAAACUAUCACCUAAAAUCAGUUUGGAAAACAAGACCUAAAAAGGGAAGGGGAUGGGGAUUGUGGGGAGAGAGUGGGCGAGGUGCCUUUACUACAUGUGUGAUCUGAAAACCCUGCUUGGUUCUGAGCUGCGUCUAUUGAAUUGGUAAAGUAAUACCAAUGGCUUUUUAUCAUUUCCUUCUUCCCUUUAAGUUUCACUUGAAAUUUUAAAAAUCAUGGUUAUUUUUAUCGUUGGGAUCUUUCUGUCUUCUGGGUUCCAUUUUUUAAAUGUUUAAAAAUAUGUUGACAUGGUAGUUCAGUUCUUAACCAAUGACUUGGGGAUGAUGCAAACAAUUACUGUCGUUGGGAUUUAGAGUGUAUUAGUCACGCAUGUAUGGGGAAGUAGUCUCGGGUAUGCUGUUGUGAAAUUGAAACUGUAAAAGUAGAUGGUUGAAAGUACUGGUAUGUUGCUCUGUAUGGUAAGAACUAAUUCUGUUACGUCAUGUACAUAAUUACUAAUCACUUUUCUUCCCCUUUACAGCACAAAUAAAGUUUG